CCUACGGGGGCAGCAGUGGGGAAUAUUGGACAAUGGGCGAAAGCCUGAUCCAGCCAUGCCGCGUGUGUGAAGAAGGCCUUCGGGUUGUAAAGCACUUUCAGUGGGGAAGAAAGCCUUGGGGCUAAUACCCUCGAGGAAGGACAUCACCCACAGAAGAAGCACCGGCUAACUCCGUGCCAGCAGCCGCGGUAAUACGGAGGGUGCGAGCGUUAAUCGGAAUUACUGGGCGUAAAGCGCGCGUAGGCGGUCUGAUAAGCCGGUUGUGAAAGCCCCGGGCUCAACCUGGGAACGGCAUCCGGAACUGUCAGGCUAGAGUGCAGGAGAGGAAGGUAGAAUUCCCGGUGUAGCAGUGAAAUGCGUAGAGAUCGGGAGGAAUACCAGUGGCGAAGGCGGCCUUCUGGACUGACACUGACGCUGAGGUGCGAAAGCGUGGGUAGCAAACAGGAUUAGAUACCCCGGUAGUC
Molecule: ribosomal RNA, 464 nt
Filed under: Vreelandella stevensii
Lineage: Bacteria; Pseudomonadati; Pseudomonadota; Gammaproteobacteria; Oceanospirillales; Halomonadaceae
Description: partial 16S ribosomal RNA
Rfam family: Bacterial small subunit ribosomal RNA
Source: RNAcentral